UCAAAACAAUAUUGAACGCAACAUGGCGAAAUGCAGGGCCGCCAUUGCUGCUCUUAGGGGACUGUUCUUCAAGCUUCUUCGGUGAGUCCCUGCCUUUACAAAAAUGAUACGAUACGAUUUCACCUCUAAGCUCUUCUUUUUGCUCGAUUUCUGCAAAUCAAUCCACCAAAUCAAACAAACCCAUGCUCAACUGAUCACUACUGGUCUUGUUCUACACCCAAUUGCCACUAAUAAACUCCUCAAACUUCUUUCCUUCUCAAGAUUUGCUUCCAUUUCUUAUGCCCAAAUGGUGUUCGAUCAUUUUCCCCAACCAGAUCUCUUCCUCUAUAACACCAUCAUCAAAGCCCACGCGCUUUCGGCCACUUCCUCUGCAGAUUCCUUCACAAGGUUUCGUUCUCUGAUCCGCGAUGGAAGGUUAGUGCCCAAUCAGUAUUCUUUUGCAUUUGCCUUCAAGGGGUGUGGCAAUGCUGUUGGGGUUUUGGAAGGGGAGCAAGUUCGUGCUCAUGCUGUUAAACUUGGUUUGGAGAAUAAUUUGUUUGUGAUGAAUGCGUUGAUUGGGAUGUAUGUGAAUUUGGGGGUUGUUGGGGAUGCUAGAAAGGUGUUUGAUUGGAGCACAAUUAGAGAUAUGUACUCGUGGAAUAUCAUGCUUAGUGGGUAUGCGAAAUUGGGGAAAAUGGAUGAUGCUCGGGAACUGUUUGAUGAAAUGCCUGAAAGAGAUGUUGUGUCGUGGACAACAAUGAUUGCUGGAUGUGUCCAGGUUGGUCAUUUCAUGGAGGCUUUGGAUAUCUUCCACAAGAUGCUGCAAAAAGGGGUGGGCCCAAAUGAGUACACGUUGGCCAGUGCCCUUGCAGCCUGUGCUAAUCUUGUGGCGUUGGACCAAGGAAGAUGGAUGCAUGUUUAUAUUCGAAAGAAUGAGAUACCGUUGAAUGAUCGGUUGCUAGCCGGACUCAUUGACAUGUAUGUAAAAUGUGGAGAGUUAGAGUUUGCCUCGAAGCUUUUCAACAGUGAACGGAUGUCGAUUCGGAAGGUUUGGCCCUGGAAUGCCAUGAUUGGUGGGUUUGCAAUGCAUGGGAAAUCUAAGGAAGCAAUUGAGCUUUUUGAACAAAUGAAGGUAGAAAAAGUAUCUCCCAACAAAGUUACAUUUGUUGCUUUGUUAAAUGCUUGCAGUCAUGGGAAUAGAGUUGAAGAAGGAAGAGGCUACUUCGAAUCAAUGGCUGGUCGCUUUGGAGUCGAGCCUGAGUUAGAGCAUUAUGGAUGCAUGGUGGAUCUACUGGGACGUUCGGGACGCUUGAAAGAAGCCGAAGAGAUCAUAUCAAGUAUGCCUUUGGCACCAGAUGUAGCUAUCUGGGGCGCAUUGCUUAGUGCUUGCAAAACCCAUAAGGAUAUUGAAAUGGGAGAGAGAAUUGGGAAAAUUGUUAGAGAGCUGGAUUCUGACCAUCUGGGUUGCCAUGUUUUAUUAGCAAAUAUGUAUUCCUUGACUGGGAAUUGGAAUGAAGCCAGGACAUUAAGGGAGAAGAUUGCAGUAAGUGGGAAAAAGAAGACUCCUGGUUGCAGCUCCAUCGAGUUGAACGGGACGUUCCAUCAAUUUCUUGUAGGUGAUCGGUCCCAUCCUCAAACUAAAGAGCUGUAUAUGUUCUUGGAUGAGAUGACCACCAAGUUGAAGAUGGCUGGUUACAUCCCUGAAUCCGGAGAAGUUUUGCUGGAUAUCGAUGACAAUGAGGACAGAGAAACAGCUCUGUUGAAGCACAGUGAGAAGUUGGCUAUUGCCUUUGGGUUGAUGAACACCGCACCUAAAACUCCAAUUCGCAUUGUGAAGAACUUGAGAGUAUGUGGAGAUUGUCAUCUAGCUAUAAAGUUCAUUUCCAAGGUAUACGAUAGGGAGAUUGUUGUAAGGGACAGAAUUAGAUAUCACCACUUUAAAGAUGGAGCUUGUUCGUGCAACGAUUACUGGUAGCGUUUGUUGUUUAUCUGCUAAUCUGCAUAGCUACACCUUCAAACUCUGGUGAUCUGGGCGGUUUUCCUCUCGACGAUGAAGCCUAUCCCCCAUCGUCUCAUUGGCCGACCUUAACCCCGGUUAUUUUGAGAUCUUAUUUAGUAUUCAGAAUUUGCCUCGAUUUGGUACCACUCUCGCGGCCCGCACCAAAACCGUGCUUUACCCCUAGAUGUCCAGUCAAGCCAUUUCCCUUUUUCUUGGGGAUCAAACUCCAGGGAAAGCCUUCAUCGUUCAGAAGCACACAACUCGACGUUUUCUUAUUCUACCAUUAAUAUCUCAAGUCUGAGACAAUGCAUCGUACAAAUCCCUUCAAUCCAUCCACCGCCGGAAAACAUUUAAGGUAUUAUAUCCUAUGAAAAGGCUGAGUUCAAAUCUUCCCUUGGUCUCUACUCCUCCCUCAUCCUAUUUAAAUAGAAUUACGAUAAAACGUUUUUUUUAAUGAAAGAACUUGAUCAACCUGUUCUCUUAUAUUUGUGAACGUAUGGACUAGUUUGCAUGCAAUUCAACCAUCAUUAUGGCACAAAUCGAAUGGUAUUCACUAGCGCCUCACCCUAUGGUUGAAAGGAAGUAUUCCUUUUACUCCAUCCACUUUUCUACUUUUAUGCAAUUGUGAUAAAGGUGAUAAAUUGUACCUUCGUUGUUGAGUUUUAUCACAUAAUAAGUUUGGGUUGUUUAGUAAAGUUCAUUUUAAGAAAUUGAGACCAUUCCUAAUUCCAUUACUCUUA
Molecule: RNA transcript, 2718 nt
Organism: Cucurbita moschata (crookneck pumpkin)
Lineage: Eukaryota; Viridiplantae; Streptophyta; Magnoliopsida; Cucurbitales; Cucurbitaceae
Gene name: pentatricopeptide repeat-containing protein At3g62890-like
Exons: 3
Source: RefSeq, a predicted model, not a curated record